RNAcentral lists this ribosomal RNA (424 nucleotides) under uncultured bacterium. RNAcentral describes it as "bacterial SSU rRNA". It matches the Rfam family "Bacterial small subunit ribosomal RNA", at positions 356 to 772 of the family's 1533-position model. The record is from RNAcentral.
GGGGAAUUGUUCGCAAUGGGCGCAAGCCUGACGACGCAACGCCGCGUGGAGGAUGAAGAUCUUCGGGUCGUAAACUCCUUUCGAUCGAGACGAAUGGCCCCUGGGCUAAUCACCAGGGGAAUGACGGUACCGAGAGAAGAAGCCCCGGCUAACUCCGUGCCAGCAGCCGCGGUAAUACGGAGGGUGCAAGCGUUAUCCGGAUUUACUGGGUUUAAAGGGUGCGUAGGUGGGUCUGUAAGUCAGUGGUGAAAUCUCCGAGCUUAACUCGGAAACUGCCAUUGAUACUAUAGGUCUUGAAUUAUCUGGAGGUAAGCGGAAUAUGUCAUGUAGCGGUGAAAUGCUUAGAUAUGACAUAGAACACCAAUUGCGAAGGCAGCUUACUACGGAUCGAUUGACACUGAGGCACGAAAGCGUGGGGAUCAAA